This 66-nucleotide microRNA precursor is filed under the name Bombyx mori (domestic silkworm). Its description in RNAcentral is "mir-2774 microRNA precursor family". It matches the Rfam family "mir-2774 microRNA precursor family". Lineage: Eukaryota; Metazoa; Arthropoda; Insecta; Lepidoptera; Bombycidae. The record is from Rfam by way of RNAcentral.
AUAACAACAUACCGUCGGUCUACCGAGCAAUAUCAUCCGCUCAGUGAAAGACCAUUCCGCCGUCGU